RNAcentral lists this ribosomal RNA (596 nucleotides) under uncultured bacterium. RNAcentral describes it as "bacterial SSU rRNA". It matches the Rfam family "Bacterial small subunit ribosomal RNA", at positions 659 to 1247 of the family's 1533-position model. The record is from RNAcentral.
CAGCGGAACGAUCGGUGGAGCGGUGGAAUGCGUAGAGAUCGAUCGGAACGCCAAAGGUGAAGACAGCUGGCUGGGCCUUUCCUGACGCUGAGGCACGAAAGCGUGGGGAUCAAACAGGAUUAGAUACCCUGGUAGUCCACGCCCUAAACGAUGCACACUAGACCGUUGCGGCUCUGACGUCGUAAUGGUCGUAGAGAAAUUGCUAAGUGUGCCGCCUGGGGAGUACGGUCGCAAGGCUAAAACUCAAAGGAAUUGACGGGGGCUCACACAAGCGGUGGAGCAUGUUGCUUAAUUCGAAGCAACGCGAAGAACCUUACCCGGGUUUGACAUACACGGAUUAGUUGGUGGAAACAUCAAUGAGGCCCGCAAGGGUACAACGUGAACAGGUGCUGCAUGGCUGUCGUCAGCUCGUGCUGUGAAGUGUUUGGUUAAGUCCAUUAACGAGCGCAACCCUUGUCGUUAGUUGCUACCGCGUCAUGGCGAGGACUCUAACGAGACUGCCGGCGUCAAGCCGGAGGAAGGUGGGGAUGACGUCAAGUCCUCAUGGCCCUUACACCCGGGGUUGCAAACGUGCUACAAUGGUGCGCACAAUGCGA